RNAcentral lists this ribosomal RNA (246 nucleotides) under uncultured bacterium. Its description in RNAcentral is "partial 16S ribosomal RNA". It matches the Rfam family "Bacterial small subunit ribosomal RNA", at positions 57 to 305 of the family's 1533-position model. The record is from RNAcentral.
GCAAGCCGAGCGGUAGAGUUCCUUCGGGAACUUGAGAGCGGCGUACGGGUGCGUAACUAGUGUGCAACCUACCUUUAUCUGGGGGAUAGCCUUUCGAAAGGAAGAUUAAUACCCCAUAAUAUAAUGAUUGGCAUCAAUUAUUAUUGAAAACUCCGGUGGAUAGAGAUGGGCACGCGCAAGAUUAGAUAGUUGGUGAGGUAACGGCUCACCAAGACAAUGAUCUGUAGGGGGCCUGAGAGGGAGAUC